UUUCCGGUUGAUCCUGCCGCCGGCCACCGCUAUCAAGUUCCGACUAAGCCAUGCGAGUCAAGGUAUCGUAAGAUGCCGGCAAACUGCUCAGUAACACGUGGAUAAUCUAACCUUGAGUAAGGGAUAACCUCGGGAAACUGAGGAUAAUACCUUAUAAUUGCUUAAAACUGGAAUGUUUAAGCAAUAAAAGUUCCGACGCUCAAGGAUGAGUCUGCGACCUAUCAGGUAGUAGGUGGUGUAAUGGACCACCUAGCCUCAGACGGGUACGGGCCCUGGGAGGGGUAGCCCGGAGAUGGACUCUGAGACAUCAGUCCAGGCCCUACGGGGCGCAGCAGGCGCGAACACUGUGCAAUGCGCGAAAGCGCGACACGGGGAGCUUGAGUGUCUUGGCAUAGCCAAGACUUUUCUCAUUCCUAAAAAGCAUGAGGAAUAAGUGCUGGGUAAGACGGGUGCCAGCCGCCGCGGUAACACCCGCAGCACAAGUGGUGGUCACUUUUAUUGAGCCUAAAGCGUUCGUAGCCGGUUUUGUAAAUCUUUAGAUAAAGCCUGAAGCUUAACUCCAGAAAGUCUGAAGAGACUGCAAGACUUGAGAUCGGGUGAGGUUAAACGUACUUUCAGGGUAGGGGUAAAAUCCUGUAAUCCCGGAAGGACGACCAGUGGCGAAAGCGUUUAACUAGAACGAAUCUGACGGUAAGGAACGAAGGCUAGGGUAGCAAACCGGAUUAGAUACCCGGGUAGUCCUAGCUGUAAACACUGCCCAUUUGAUGUUGCUUUUCCGUUGAGGGAAGGCAGUGUCGGAGCGAAGGUGUUAAAUGGGCCGCUUGGGAAGUAUGGUCGCAAGACUGAAACUUAAAGGAAUUGGCGGGGGAGCACCGCAACGGGAGGAAUGUGCGGUUUAAUUGGAUUCACCGCCGGG
RNAcentral lists this ribosomal RNA (916 nucleotides) under uncultured archaeon. RNAcentral's name for it is "bacterial SSU rRNA". It matches the Rfam family "Archaeal small subunit ribosomal RNA", at positions 1 to 922 of the family's 1478-position model. The record is from RNAcentral.